UAGGGAAUCUUCGGCAAUGGGGGCAACCCUGACCGAGCAACGCCGCGUGAGUGAAGAAGGUUUUCGGAUCGUAAAGCUCUGUUGUAAGAGAAGAACGUGUGUGAGAGUGGAAAGUUCACACAGUGACGGUAACUUACCAGAAAGGGACGGCUAACUACGUGCCAN
RNAcentral lists this ribosomal RNA (165 nucleotides) under uncultured bacterium. RNAcentral's name for it is "partial 16S rRNA". It matches the Rfam family "Bacterial small subunit ribosomal RNA", at positions 355 to 511 of the family's 1533-position model. The record is from RNAcentral.